UAUCUACGGUUCUAUAAAAGCGAAAGCAGAUUAUUUUUGAUCCUUCACUGUGCGAAGUCUGCAAACAUAACAUUUACUACAGAACUAUUUUUAUUCAUCAAAUAAGAGAAGAGCUGAGAGCAAAUGAAGGGGCUUCACUUAAAAAUGUGAAAAGUGUUGUUCCUGAGACGUCAGAUUCUACAUUAAACUCAAAUUCAUCAGUCAACUGGACCUUCAAACCCAGAAACGAAAAUAAAUCAAUUAAUGCAUUGAAAUUAAUCAAAAAUUAUUUAAGGUCGACAAUGAGUACUCCAAGACUAACAAAUUUGGCUAUCUUGUCUAUUGAUUAAGAGGUGUGUGAUGCUAUAGACAUUGAUGGUGCAAUAAAAGACUUUGCUCUUGAAAAGUUGAUGUUUAAAUGUUCAAUCAAAGCCGAAGGUUUUGUUUUCAACUCAACAAAUACCUACCUAUAUUAUUCUUCAAAAAGAUACAAAUAUUACUUAAUAGUAUCAUCCUAGUUCUAAUUAAAAAGUGAUUAUCGAAUAAAUAAUACCUAUGUACCUGUUAUAUCAAUGGUUGUAGUAAGAAUGUUGUAUUGAUGAACGUGAUUGUGAAACAAAUAUAUUAUUUUAUUUGGAA
This is a long non-coding RNA of Leptinotarsa decemlineata (Colorado potato beetle), 618 nucleotides long. RefSeq lists it as uncharacterized. The record is from RefSeq and is a predicted model, not a curated record. NCBI's taxonomy places the organism in Eukaryota, Metazoa, Arthropoda, Insecta, Coleoptera, Chrysomelidae.